This 220-nucleotide ribosomal RNA is filed under the name uncultured Glomus. RNAcentral's name for it is "partial small subunit ribosomal RNA". It matches the Rfam family "Eukaryotic small subunit ribosomal RNA", at positions 591 to 816 of the family's 1831-position model. Lineage: Eukaryota; Fungi; Glomeromycota; Glomeromycetes; Glomerales; Glomeraceae. The record is from RNAcentral.
CCAAUAGCGUAUAUUAAAGUUGUUGCAGUUAAAAAGCUCGUAGUUGAAUUUCGGGAUCGGUGGGUUGGUCGUGCCUCUGGUACGUACUGGCUCAACCGGUUCCUCCCUUCUGACGAACCACGAUGUCAUUAAUUUGGUGUUGUGGGGAAUCAGGACUGUUACUUUGAAAAAAUUAGAGUGUUUAAAGCGGGCUAAAGCUUGAAUAGAUUAGCAUGGAAUA